GGGCCCGCACAAGCGGUGGAGUAUGUGGUUUAAUUCGAGUGCAGCGCGAAGGGCCUUACCUGGCCUUGACAUGUCUGGAAUCCUGCAGAGAUGCGGGAGUGCCUUCGGGAAUCAGAACACAGGUGCUGCAUGGCUGUCGUCAGCUCGUGUCGUGAGAUGUUGGGCUAAGUCCCGCAACGAGCGCAACCCUUGUCCUUAGUUGCCAGCACGUAAUGGUGGGAACUCUAAGGAGACUGCCGGUGACAAACCGGAGGAAGGUGGGUAUGACGUCAAGUCCUCAUGGCCCUUACGGCCAGGGCUACACACGUACUACAAUGGUCGGUACAGAGGGUUGCAAUACCGCGAGGUGGAGCCAAUCCCAGAAAGCCGAUCUCAGUCCGGAUCGGAGUCUGCAACUCGACUCGGUGAAGUCGGAAUCGCUAGUAAUCGCGGAUCAGCUAUGCCGCGGUGAAUACGUUCCCGGGCCUUGUACACACCGCCCGUCACACCAUGGGAGUGAGUUUGCUCCAGAAGCCGUUAGUCUAACCGCAAGGAGGACGACGACCACGGAGUGGUUCAUGACUGGGGUG
This 569-nucleotide ribosomal RNA is filed under the name uncultured bacterium. Its description in RNAcentral is "bacterial SSU rRNA". It matches the Rfam family "Bacterial small subunit ribosomal RNA", at positions 917 to 1482 of the family's 1533-position model. The record is from RNAcentral.